Molecule: ribosomal RNA, 490 nt
Filed under: uncultured bacterium
Lineage: Bacteria
Description: partial 16S ribosomal RNA
Rfam family: Bacterial small subunit ribosomal RNA
Source: RNAcentral
AUUGAACGCUGGCGGCAGGCCUAACACAUGCAAGUCGAACGGUAACAGGAAGCAGCUUGCUGCUUCGCUGACGAGUGGCGGACGGGUGAGUAAUGUCUGGGAAACUGCCUGAUGGAGGGGGAUAACUACUGGAAACGGUAGCUAAUACCGCAUAACGUCGCAAGACCAAAGAGGGGGACCUUAGGGCCUCUUGCCAUCGGAUGUGCCCAGAUGGGAUUAGCUAGUAGGUGGGGUAACGGCUCACCUAGGCGACGAUCCCUAGCUGGUCUGAGAGGAUGACCAGCCACACUGGAACUGAGACACGGUCCAGACUCCUACGGGAGGCAGCAGCGGGGAAUAUUGCACAAUGGGCGCAAGCCUGAUGCAGCCAUGCCGCGUGUAUGAAGAAGGCCUUCGGGUUGUAAAGUACUUUCAGCGGGGAGGAAGGGAGUAAAGUUAAUACCUUUGCUCAUUGACGUUACCCGCAGAAGAAGCACCGGCUAACUCCGUG